RNAcentral lists this ribosomal RNA (422 nucleotides) under uncultured bacterium. RNAcentral's name for it is "bacterial SSU rRNA". It matches the Rfam family "Bacterial small subunit ribosomal RNA", at positions 355 to 774 of the family's 1533-position model. The record is from RNAcentral.
UGAGGAAUAUUGGUCAAUGGGCGGAAGCCUGAACCAGCCAAGUCGCGUGAAGGAUGAAGGUUCUAUGGAUCGUAAACUUCUUUUAUAGGGGAAUAAAGUGCGCCACGUGUGGUGUUUUGUAUGUACCCUAGGAAUAAGCAUCGGCUAACUCCGUGCCAGCAGCCGCGGUAAUACGUAGGGGGCAAGCGUUGUCCGGAAUUACUGGGCGUAAAGAGCACGUAGGCGGUAACCUAAGUCAGAUGUGAAAGACCAGGGCUUAACUCUGGGGUUGCAUACGAAACUGGGUAACUAGAGUGCAGGAGAGGAAAGUGGAGUUCCUAGUGUAGCGGUGAAAUGCGUAGAUAUUAGGAGGAACACCAGUGGCGAAGGCGGCUUUCUGGACUGUAACUGACGCUGAGGUGCGAAGGCCAGGGGAGCGAACG